RNAcentral lists this long non-coding RNA (314 nucleotides) under Zostera marina. RNAcentral describes it as "long non-coding RNA (ZMAR_LNC000233)". Lineage: Eukaryota; Viridiplantae; Streptophyta; Magnoliopsida; Alismatales; Zosteraceae. The record is from RNAcentral.
AAAUACUCUGUUCUUUUUUUCCUCUGUUCCUCCAUUUUUUGCAGGUCGUCGCUGGUUGCAGUUCCAGCUCGGACCCGAUUCCUCCUCGCCGCCUCAGCUUGAGAUGAUGGGGCUGCUAACAGACCUUCCCCAGAUAGUAUCGCAUUCCUCUUUGUGAUCGCGUGCAGCCUCCGCUGCUCCGCCAUUUCCGCCAAGUCGUCUGGUGAACCCAUCCCCUCCCUGACUCGAUUUCUUCUCUGUAACUCACUGGGUUCCGUUGUGUCUGGAAGGUACCCAUCCCCAGCAAGCUUUGCAAACCUAAAACCGUCCGCCUU